Molecule: non-coding RNA, 22 nt
Filed under: Arabidopsis thaliana (thale cress)
Lineage: Eukaryota; Viridiplantae; Streptophyta; Magnoliopsida; Brassicales; Brassicaceae
Source: RNAcentral
UGAAAACGGGUGGGUCUAUUGG